ACGAACGCUGGCGGCGUGCCUAAUACAUGCACGUAGAACGCUGAAGAGAGGAGCUUGCUCUUCUUGGAUGAGUUGCGAACGGGUGAGUAACGCGUAGGUAACCUGCCUGGUAGCGGGGGAUAACUAUUGGAAACGAUAGCUAAUACCGCAUAAAAUUGAUUAUUGCAUGAUAAUUAAUUGAAAGAUGCAACUGCAUCACUACCAGAUGGACCUGCGUUGUAUUAGCUAGUUGGUGAGGUAACGGCUCACCAAGGCGACGAUACAUAGCCGACCUGAGAGGGUGAUCGGCCACACUGGGACUGAGACACGGCCCAGACUCCUACGGGAGGCAGCAGUAGGGAAUCUUCGGCAAUGGGGGGAACCCUGACCGAGCAACGCCGCGUGAGUGAAGAAGGUUUUCGGAUCGUAAAGCUCUGUUGUAAGAGAAGAACGGGUGUGAGAGUGGAAAGUUCACACUGUGACGGUAUCUUACCAGAAAGGGACGGCUAACUACGUG
Molecule: ribosomal RNA, 496 nt
Filed under: uncultured bacterium
Lineage: Bacteria
Description: partial 16S ribosomal RNA
Rfam family: Bacterial small subunit ribosomal RNA
Source: RNAcentral